GACGAACGCUGGCGGCGUGCUUAACACAUGCAAGUCGAACGGAAAGGCCCUGCUUUUGUGGGGUGCUCGAGUGGCGAACGGGUGAGUAACACGUGAGUAACCUGCCCCUGACUUUGGGAUAACUUCAGGAAACUGGGGCUAAUACCGGAUAGGAGCUCCUGCUGCAUGGUGGGGGUUGGAAAGUUUCGGCGGUUGGGGAUGGACUCGCGGCUUAGCAGCUUGUUGGUGGGGUAGUGGCUUACCAAGGCUUCGACGGGUAGCCGGCAUGAGAGGGUGACCGGCGACAUUGGGACUGAGAGAGGGACCAGACUGCUACGGGAGGCAGCAGUGGGGAAUAUUGCACAGUGGGCGGAAGCCUGAUGCAGCAACGCCGGGUGCGGGAUGACGGCCUUCGGGUUGUAAACCGCUUUGGCCUGUGACGAAGCGUGAGUGACGGUAAUGGGUAAAGAAGCACCGGCUAACUACGUG
RNAcentral lists this ribosomal RNA (468 nucleotides) under uncultured bacterium. RNAcentral's name for it is "partial 16S ribosomal RNA". It matches the Rfam family "Bacterial small subunit ribosomal RNA", at positions 28 to 507 of the family's 1533-position model. The record is from RNAcentral.